GAUGAACGCUGGCGGCGUGCUUAACACAUGCAAGUCGAACGAGAAAUGGAGACGGAAACCUUCGGGCGGAAGGCUUCAUUUCGAGUGGCGGACGGGUGAGUAACGCGUGGGUAACCUGCCUCAUACAGGGGGAUAACAGUUGGAAACGACUGUUAAUACCGCAUAAGACCACAGCACCGCAUGGUGCGGGGGUAAAAACUCCGGUGGUAUGAGAUGGACCCGCGUUCGAUUAGCCAGUUGGCGGGGUAACGGCCCACCAAAGCGACGAUCGAUAGCCGAUCUGAGAGGAUGCCCGGCCACAUUGGGACUGAGACACGGCCCAAACUCCUACGGGAGGCAGCAGUGGGGAAUAUUGCACAAUGGGGGAAACCCUGAUGCAGCGACGCCGCGUGAGUGAAGAAGUACUUCGGUAUGUAAAGCUCUAUCAGCAGGGAAGAAAAUGACGGUACCUGAGUAAGAAGCCCCGGCUAACUACGUG
This 478-nucleotide ribosomal RNA is filed under the name uncultured bacterium. Its description in RNAcentral is "partial 16S ribosomal RNA". It matches the Rfam family "Bacterial small subunit ribosomal RNA", at positions 28 to 507 of the family's 1533-position model. The record is from RNAcentral.